Molecule: long non-coding RNA, 4482 nt
Filed under: Homo sapiens (human)
Lineage: Eukaryota; Metazoa; Chordata; Mammalia; Primates; Hominidae
Description: non-protein coding lnc-PPM1M-2:5
Source: RNAcentral
GCCUCGGUCCGGCCUUGCCUUACUGGUACCAGUACCUGCCUGCUGCUACCAACUAGUCAACAUGUGGCAUCUUCCAGGCCACUGUGAUGAGUCAGGGAUGAGCAUCUGACUCUGGUUGGUCCAAUCAGCUUGUCCAGGGACUUUGGCUGGGAAGAUUGGAAAGGAGGCCAGCUUUUUGGGCUGGGGUUGCUGAGAGAUGUGAUGAUGAAAUGUGUGGCCUACCUGGCAUCUGGCCCCAGCUUCAGCUCCAUUUACUGUCUUGCUCCCCACCCUCACUAGCCUGCAUUGAGGCCUCCUCUGUGCCCCCCAACCCCUGAGUUUCUCAUCCCCAGAGAGCCCAGCUACACAGAAUUGAAGGGUUUUCUCAUUCAUCUUCCUGCGCUCACCCUGAAGACUGGGCCUAUGUCAUCUGCUAACCACUGUCCCCCCAGCACUCACAGUGGAAAAUGGAGUGUUAUGCAGCCCUGCAGCUUGCCUUCUAGAACAGUUCACAGGCAAGGCCUCCCACACUGAACCCUGCUACAGCCAGAUGGUGCCAGCAACACAGAGCUACUUGUUACAUCAGCUCAGACUAAGCCACACCCACAGGAGCAUCUGGUGAUUCCACAGAACCACAAGAGACUUGACCUCCUGGAAAUGAAUUAACCAAGAUUAAUGAAAAAGAUUAAGGUCAUGUGCCCUGUAAAAAUGUCCCUCACUGGAUGAACUGUGACAAAGUAGGGUACUGCGUGGUCUCCCCAGCUGACCCUCUCCAUGGGUCAUUCUUUGCUUUUAUCACUACCUGGCACAAAUCUUUACGUAUUUGUUUAUCGUCUUCCCUCCACCAGUAGUUAGGUGUUUGCCCUUGCUGUAUCCCCUGUGCCUAGAACAGUGCCCAACAUUGGCAGGUGGCCAAUAAUUGCAAAAUAAGCAAAUGUAUGAAUGAACCAUUAGAUGCUUUGUGUUGUAUACUUACUACCUGCUGGGCACAUUUAUUUAAUCCUCAUGACAGCCCCUGAAGUAGGUGUUACUUUUUCCAUCUUACAGAUAAAGACUCUGAGGUUUGGAGAGGUGAAGUGAUUUGAUCAAUGUCACAUGGUAGUGAGUGAGGCCAAGAAUCAUAGUUUCAUUUUAUUCGAGAAGUUGGGGGCCAGGUACAGUGGCUCAUGCCUGUAAUCCUAACACUUUGGGAGGCCAGGGUGGGAAGAUCUCUUGAGCCUAGGAGUUUGAGACCAGCCUGGACAACAACAUGGUGAGACUCCAUCUCUACAAAAAAAAAAAAAAAAUUAUUUUAAAAUUAGCCAGGCAUGGUGAUGUACACCUGUAGUUCCAGCUACUUGGCUGAGACAGGAGGACUGCUUGAGGCCAGGAAUUCAAGACCAGCCUGGUAAAGAUGGCAAGACCCCAUCUCUACAUAUAUAUAUCUAUAGAUAGAUAGAUAGAUUAAUAGAUAGAUAUGUAUUAGCCAGGCACAGUCACACAUGUUUGUAGUCCCAGCUACUUGGGAGGCUAAGGCAGGAGGAUCACCUGAGCCCAGGAGUUAAGGGCUGCAGUGAGCCGUGAUCACACCACUGCAUUCCAGUUUGGGUGACAGAGUGAGGCUCUCUUAAAAAAUUUAAAAAUACUGAAGAAACAAAGGGAGGAGUUUGUAGAAUCUGGAGUGGAGGAAACUUCUGUGUCACCAAACACAGAAACCAUCAAAGAAAAUCUUUCACUUCCAAAAUUAGUCUAUAGAAAAAAAAAAAGAAAAUCUUAACCCAAAUAAGAGACUGAGGCAAGAGCUUCAAUCAAUCGAGGUUUACUGAGCCAGAGUUGGAGCGUGCCCAGGAAAGCAACACAAGUCAAAGAAACGUCUGUGGCCUGUGCUCUCCCAAGAAGUUUUCAGGAGGCUCAAUAUUUGUACAUUUCUUUAAAGGGGAGAAGACAGUGAGGCAAAUGGUUAUGUUUUUGUGAGACUCUUAAUUAGUGUCCCGUAAAUCUAAGCUAUAUGGAAGAUAGGGUGAACACUGGAAGAACAGGGAGUAACAGAAGAGCCAAUUAUGCAGAGGUCUCAGGUUAGGUGGAGGAAUGAUUGAUCUCAUCUUAUCCUUGUUCUGCACCUGGGCAGAUAAACUUGUAAUUGACAUUGUCAGUGUGAAAUUUAACAGACUUUGGUUUUAGGAGUUAGGUUUAGGUUGCAGACCUAAAGUUGCAGUUGACAUGUCCUUGUUUUAUAGGAGGAUAUACAUCCUGAAAGUUUUAGGGACUGGCAAAGAAUUUACUGCUGAGCAAUUUGUGAUUGCAGUCACCUGGAGAUUCAUGAGGCUUUUUGCCUUUUUGUGGGGAUCUGGUUAAUGCAUAAUAUUUUGACACAAGGUUGCAAGGUAACAGGUAUCCAUUUGGGAAAAGAAUGACAGUUUUGGAGAACAUUAGUUCUGCAGCAUAGAAUGAAGUGUUGCCGGAAUAAAAUUAAAAAAAAAAAAAAAAGGCUGGGUGUGGUGGCUCAUGCCUGUAAUCCUAGCACGCCUGUAAUCCCAGCACGCCUGUAAUCCUAGCACGCCUGUAAUCCCAGCACGCCUGUAAUCCCAGCACUUUGGGAGGCCGAGGCGGGUGGAUCACCUGAGGUCUGGAGUUCGAGACCAGCCUGAUCAAUAUGGCGAAACCCCAUCUCUACUAAAAAUACAAAAAUUAGCUGGGCAUGGUGGCGGGUGCCUGUAAUCCCAGCUACUGGGGAGGCUGAGGCAGGAGAAUUGCUUGAACUCGGGAGGCGGAGGUUGCAGUGAGCCGGGAUUGUGCCAGUGCACUCUAGCCUGGGUGACAGAGCAAGACUCCAUCUCAAAAAAAAAAAAAAAAAAAAAAAAAAAAAAAGGAAUGCCAGUGUUGUGUGGCUCAGUCUCCAAGCUUAACUCUCCCUUUAGCAUAACAAAUUUGGGGGUCCUGAAAUUUUUAUUUUCCUUUAUGAAAAGAUCAAUAAUCCAUUUGCAUAAAAAAUAAAGUCUAUAUGGAAAAAGCCACCAUCACAGCCAAAACACAAAUAACAAACUGUAACUUGUUACAAACAGCAUACUUGUAACUCAUUUCAAAAUAAAGAGCUGAUUUCUCUAAUAUAUAAAGAGCUCUCAUAAGUCAAUAAGAAAAAGACCAAUGGUAGCCAGGCGUGGUGGCACAUGCCUGUAAUCUCAGCUACUCAGGAGGCUGAGGCAGGAGAAUCACUUAAGCCCAGGAGGCAGAGGUCAUGGGGAGCCGAGAUCACACCAUUGCACUCCAGCCUGGGCAACAAGAGCGAAACUCUGUAUCAAAAAAAAAAAAAAGAAAAAGAAAAAGACAAAUGGCCCAGUAGAAAGUGUGGCAAAGGAUACAAACAGACCAUUCACAGAAAAAGAUAGAUAAAUAACAUCUCUCAGGAAAGUACCUCCCAGUCACCCUUUGUUGGAAAGUUGUUGAAGGAUGCACUUCAGCAAAAUGAGGGAGUAAACCAAGAGACAUAGGCUUAAGAUCCAGGCAAGAGUGAGGCGCUUAGGAGCCCAGGAAGCCAGAAGAGCCUGGUAGCACUGAAGGAACACUCAGGCCACCUUGGAACAGAGAGGAUGGGAUUGCCAUGUGGUUCCACAUGGCUCUGAAAAUAGACAAUGGCUAAGCUGUGCAACAGACUGCCUAUGACAUUUGGUUGCCCAGAGCUUCUGUGAAAAUACUUCAGGACAAGGCUUUCCCCCACCCAGGGGUGGGUUGGGGAAUAGAGUGUAUGCACUUUGUUUUGUCCAAUUUUAGACUUUAAAAUCCUCUGAGGCAUCAACUGGUGAGGGUGAGGAAGUGGCCCCAUAGACUGAAUUGGGCCUGCCCCACCCUGGUACCUUUCUGUUCUGUCACAGUGACAAUUCACAGCUCAGAGGUCCUUUGGGAAACUUUCUCUGACAUCGCCCCUAUCCUCUUGCCAGCUGGAUGAAGCAGCAUCCACCAGAACUGCUACCAUCACUGCAGGGGGCUUGGUGGGCAGAGGCCUGGCUUGUCUCCAUUAGCACUGCGUUCCUGUGCCCAGUGUGGCCCCAGCAGACACUGUGGGUUCAGUCAAUCAGCCCCCAGGCUGGUCUGGGACUGAGUCAUCGGAGGGAGUGGGUGUUGGGCACAGGUCCCUGCCCUAAGAACCUUCCUUCUUGGGCCCGAGGAACUCCCACUGGGGCAGGACUAGCUGCUGGGAGGAAGUAGGGCUUACUGAGCGUCUACCUGGGCUAGGGAGUGGAGGUGAAGGUGGACUCCUCAUACAGCUCAUAUGCAGGCACUGGGCUGUGGAGCCUUAGCCGCUUUUAAUUGGCAAGCCCUGGCUUCCUGGAGGAGGAAAGGGGAAGAGAAGUGCCCUGGGGGCGAGGAUUGAGUCAGCUGCAUUGUCAUAAUGGAAAUAGUACAGCCCUGGGUGUCCAAGACUUCCCCUCCAUGGGCCUCAGAAUCGUCCAUAUGAUGUAACACUCUUUUUUUUGAGACUGAGUCUCGCUCUGUUGCCCUGGCUGGAGUGCAGUGGCUCCAUCUCGG